This 373-nucleotide ribosomal RNA is filed under the name uncultured bacterium. Its description in RNAcentral is "bacterial SSU rRNA". It matches the Rfam family "Bacterial small subunit ribosomal RNA", at positions 527 to 896 of the family's 1533-position model. The record is from RNAcentral.
GUAGGGGCCUAGCGUUGUCCGGAUUUAUUGGGCGUAAAGAGCUCGUAGGCGGUUUGGUGAGUCGGGUGUGAAAUCUCCACGCUCAACGUGGAGGGGCCAUCCGAUACUGCCAUGACUAGAGUCCGGUAGGGGAGUGUGGAAUUCCCGGUGUAGCGGUGAAAUGCGCAGAUAUCGGGAGGAACACCAGUAGCGAAGGCGACACUCUGGGCCGGUACUGACGCUGAGGAGCGAAAGCGUGGGGAGCAAACAGGAUUAGAUACCCUGGUAGUCCACGCUGUAAACGUUGGGCACUAGGUGUGGGACUCUAUCGACGGGUUCCGUGCCGUAGCUAACGCAUUAAGUGCCCCGCCUGGGGAGUACGGCCGCAAGGCUA